CCACAUGCCAUUUCUGAGCAAAGUAUGUUGUCAGCCAUCCCUUCCCAGGGCCUGUAGCACCAAGGCAUUCUAUAGAUAACUUGGUGGGGGUGAGCGUUUAGCCCACCCCGAAUCAGGUAUCCAGUGUGGACUGGUACCAUGGUUGUAAUCCACUGGAAAUUAUGCAUCCACUGUGGGUUGAGACAGCCAGCCCAUGGGAAAGAGAGAUUCUCCAUACCUGGCCAGGGCACAGUGCAGCAAUGGAUGAUAAGAACAGGAAUCCAGCAGCCAGUGGGCUGUAACCUAGAGUGUACAAAGUGGUAGGGCAGGGGUCUUGGGCACCAUUGAAGGUCUGCAUUCUGCUAUAUUAAAUUGCAAGAAACAAACAAACAAACAAAACAUAUUGACAGGUUGUGAGAGAGAUGGCUAGAAGAAAUGAAAAAGUUUUAUAUUUUAGUAUCUUUAGAGACACUUUUUUCUUGCUUUUUAAACAAGGGCCUCUGCACAUUCAUUUUGCACUGGGCCUCACAAGUUAUGUAGCCAGCCUUGGUACUUGGAGUGAAAAUUUGAAUGUUAGAAAUAAACUGUAGAGUAACAAUUACGAGAAAAUACAAGUAAUGAGAUAGGAUGUAAUUACUGGAAGUAUUUUCAUUAAAUUGUGAUCAGAAUGUUGGUAUGUGUCUCAGUUUGGGUCUUCCUAGAAGCAGACUCUGAGAAAAGGAUCUGAGAGGAAGUUGCUUAUUUGGGAAGGAAUUUCAAGGAACACAAGAAGGGAGAGUUGGAAAGAGAGAAGAAGAAGGGUAAAAAGAAGAGGAAGAAGAAGAAAAGCAUGAUAUUGAAUACAAUAGUGUUCUGGAAAACUAUGGCUAGUCCUGUGGGAACUUAGGCAGAGUAGAACAUGCCUGAACAUUGUUUCAAUUUCCAUCUGAAAGGGCAAGGGAGCUGGGGCAUUUGAGCUCCAAUUUCCAUUUGCAUGUGGACUACUUCUGAGAGUGUUAACCCUUCAAAAUUCUCAGGCUGGCCUGUACAUAAAUGCUGAGAGAAAGAUUUCCGCCCUGGAGUCCCAGAGGCUAACUGGAGGCCCUGUGGGCCUUUCCUGGAUAGCAGCGUUAAUUAAGAGGAUCUGGCUAGCCACCAACAAGGUCUGCCACAGUGAAUGUGUCUUUGAUAUAUAUAAGUACAAUAAAGUUGACUCUGAGGAUGAUGCCAUUGAACUAGGCCACACUAAAUUAGGUAUAUGUUAUAUUGGUUCUUCUUCUCAAUGGUUAUUUAAAUGUGAAACUAAUAAUAAUAAACUCUAGAGCCCUCAAAGCUGUAUAUGCCAUUUAAAAUAAUAAGAAUUCACAAACAAAUAAAUAUAUGGAAUACAUUCUAUAUAAAGUAGCUGAUUUCCUAAUUUCCUCGACAUACUUCUCUGCAUGAACAACAGUCUCUCUCAGCUCACUACAUUCUAAAUGCAAUCAGCUUUCUGCAUUCAACUAAGUGCACUAGUUUUGCACAAAGUGAAGUUUUCAUUUCUACUUUAACCACAACCUAAAUCCACAUACCUAUAAACAUUAACUACACCGUCUUGCUCUUUAUAAAAUGCUUAUUCUUAAUUUUCUAUUAAUAAUUCUUAAUCUUUGGAAAAUAAUAAUAUCUCAACUGAUAUUUAUCAUAAAUCCAAAAAAAGUGACUCUGGUUGGUACUAAAGCAAGGUACUAAAGUAAGGAUUAGAGAAAUUCUUACUGUUUGGAAAUCUAAAGCAAGGAGGGUGAACACACAUUAUGUUAAGUAAGAACAGGGAUUCUAUAUAUAUGCCUGGGUUGGAAUCUUGUCUCUGUCACUUACCUGUGUGACCUUGGGGAAAUAACUCUGUACCUCAAUUUCUCACAUCUGUCUUCAAAAAACUUUGUCAGAUUUAAUACAAUAAUAUUCAUAAAAUACUUAACUUACACCUGAUAUGUGAAAUAAAUGAAUCCGUAAAAUUGACACGUAUUCUUGGAGUAUGUUCUCAGCAAUGUUUCAUGUUGCUACCAGUUACUUGAACCUGGAAUGAAUGUGAGAUGUGAAUACACUCAAAUUAAUAUCUUUACAAUUAAAUAAAAGUGGAAAGUCACGCUAAUGAUGGAAAGAAAAUACAUGCAACUAAAAUUAACAGCAGACAGUAUCUAGAACAUACUAAAAACUGCUAUAAGUCAAUAACAAAAAGACAAUACAUUCAAUAGCACAAUAUGCUAAGACCAAAGAGGAGAGGACACUAAUGGUUUAUACAAUAUGGAUACCUUUCCAUACCCUUUAGAAUGUAGAAACACUAACAAAUCUUCAGUAUCAAUAUUGAUAAGUGUAUAAAACUACAGGGACUCUCAUAUAGUGUUGAGGUGGAAUAAAUAUCUUCAAUAUCUUUGAAGAGCAAUUUAUCAAUAUUUAGAAGAUUUUAAGAGGUUUACAUUCUAUGGGUCAGCAAUUCAUUACCAGUUGCAUAUCUUAGAGAACCUCUGCUAUUUGGAUGCAAGAAUACCCAUACAAGUAUGUUAAUUGCUUAAUAGAUUAUAAUUGCUGAAUAUUAGAAACAAUUUAAGUUAUCCAUAAAUAGAAGGGAUAAAUAAAUAGAAGCAGAAUGGGAUAAUCUUAGGUGGGUAAAGUGAAUGAUGUGUGUAAAUAAGCUUUAUCAAGACUUCCUGAAACAUAACAUUGAGAAAAAAAUGACAGAAUAUGUUCAGGAUUAUGUUAUCUAUAUUCACUUUUAAAAAAUGACAAGUAGUCAUAUAUGACAUAUGUACACAAAAUUAGAUAGUAAAUAAAUAAAAAUAUGCAUAAGAAUGAUAAAUGCCAAAUCAAGAGAGUGGUUAUCUCUAGAUGGGAGAGGAAUUUUCAGGGAGUCAACAUGGAGUUUAACUCUGUCUGUAAUACUUCAUAUUUUAAAAUAUAGAAAUUAUGCCCACAUAUUAAAACUGAUAAAAAUGUCUGGUAACUAUAGAGGUGAGUUUUUAAUCCUUAUAUAUUUUUAGAUGUUGAAAGGAUUUUUAAUAAAGGAUUUACUAACAGUGAAAGGAAGUCAGAGGCCGGGGAGGUGGAGAUUGAUUACAAAGGAACAAGAAGAAGCAUUUUGGGUUGAGUUAGUGAAUAAAUUCUUUAUGUUGACAGUGAUGAUGGUUAUAUGAUUUUAUAUAUGUCAAAUAUUAUAGAAUUAUAUACUCAACACUAGUGAUUUAUUAUAUAUAAAGUAUAUCUCAAUAAAGCUAAUUUAAAUAAUAUUCUUAGGCUUUUCAACCCUAAAAGUUAGCAGGAUGGACACUCAUUACUCUGUAAGUGUCCCCAAAGUUGUCUCUUUCUGUCUCUCUUAGUUUCUAUCAAAUUUUUCUAUUACUUCUCCCAACCCCCAACUCUUUUAUCUUUCUCUGUUUUUGCUGGUCACUGUCAGUGGCUGCCUGUCUUGCUUUCUAUUCUGGCUUCCACCGUUAAUAUAGCCAGAAUCGUAUUUACUUUUCUGAUAACGGGGGGCCCUGCUUAAACCUAACCUUAUAAAAGCUCAAAUUACUGCAAGGACCUCUACCCCUUUUUUCUUUCCAGUCCCCACACACAUAAUGUGCUGCAUACCCUAACUUGGACAAGACGCAGGGAAGAGGAGGGCCAGAUGUUAACUUCUUUAGUCAGAUAAAUACAAUGGGAAAGGCAAAGGUGGUGUGAUGAGUUAUGGAUCAACUAUGAUGAUGAAAUUGACUAGGCUGUUUCACUGGGGCUGUACAGUCAAGAAAACAUAGAGAAUUCAUAUCCUUGUCAGUAAUCAGAGCAUAAACAAAAGGAAAAGUAGAAGCUCUUCACAGAUGGUGCCACCUAAAUUUCCUGUUGAGAAUUCAAUGCAUUCACACCUUACCCCAAUGCCAGUUCCUUCAUAUAAUUCCUGCUUCUUCUUUUUAUUACCCCACCUCAAGCUUUUACACUGUAACCUAUGCACUCCUUCAGUCUUUGCUCUACUACUUUAUCUCUCAACCCAUAGUUUAAAGUCAGUGUGACAAACGUUAGCCCUGGCACAUUCUGCGUUCUAUGAUAGAAGCUAGAAGACUCAAAGGGAUUGAAACACAGUUGCUGUCCUCAAAUAUUUCAUAAUCUAGGAGGAGAAAUGGACUGUCUCCUUACUCCUGACUUUGAAAUGUUUAGACUAGCAGCACACUGUUUGCAAUCUCUGUAUUGACCUCAGAAAUAUCUCUUAAGAAAUGCUCCCCAAGAAACUCAACUUAGCAUUCUCAGGAGACACUUGGGUUACAGAGUGAAAUUUUAAAGAGACGUGACCAUGAUCGCUACUAAUCUGAUUUAUUUUAGAUUUCUGAUGUAGCAUGAUAUAGACAUGUGUUAGUAAAUUUGAUGAAGAAUUAAGGACAGGACUUAGAUAUGGCCAGCACAAAAAGAAAUGAUCUCUACAUUGCCUUUUUCUUCCAAAGCAUGUAAUCACCAUUUAUUCCCCUAUUACUUCUUUCACUGCAUGUAAUACUCUUGAUAACACUCUAAAGCUGUUAGCUGGUAAAUAAACAUGAAGAAUGUAUGAAAAACUUACUGAAUUUUGGCAAGCCUUUUUUAUUCCACAGCAGAAAGGCAAUGCUUGAAUAUUUUUAUAUACUUUAUAAACUAUUAAAUUUGUCAUUGGUUACCUAACAGAGAAUUUUUUCCUAUAUGAACUAUAAUUUUACAUGGAUUUAAUAAAAAAUAGAAAUGCUAAAAAUAAGCAAAUGAAAGAACACAAAAUAUUUCCUUUUCUUCAAACAUAAUAUCUAUAAGUGUUCCACAAUUAAAUAAGUAAAUUUAUAUGAAUGUAGUGGCAGUAUUAACUUUUUAAUUUUUCAAAUUUUAAAACUGUCAUUUCACAUUCAGUCAGAAACAUCGUAUUCAUUUUUGUUAACUUGGAUUUCUUUAAAAAUAAGUGCACCAUGAUUUUUUUAAUUAAUAGCAACUGUAGUUAAAAAAACAGAAUUUUGUGGAAAAAGAUUAAUAAAUUCCAGUUAAUUUUUAUUUUCCUCUUUGGCAAUGUCUAACAUUAAUUAGAGACAUUGAUUAGUGUUCAGUGUUAACUUAACACCAAGAAAAUCUCAUAAGCAUCAUUCUCCAUGGAUAAAAGCUAGCCAUAGAAUACUGCUUAACUUUACGUGAUAUAUUUUCAUGUGAAAUCACAAUUUUUAAGGAUCUCUUAACUUGGUUGGGUCUAGAUUUAUGUUUACUUCAAUUAUUAAAUAAGACAAUACAGGAGACAAAGAGUUAUGAAUUUCUAAAGAAAAAAAGGCUUUACGAUGUGACUCUGAGAAAAAAAUAGCAUUAUUGAAACUUGGUGUCCUAUUACGUAAAGGCUAACUAUAAAUGACACAGUAUAAUAUCUCACUGUAAUAGAAACAUUCAUUAGUUGCCAAGAUUAAUCAUCAAUACAUUACAGUAUAUGUUAGAAUAUGUGAAAUUUAAAUUAUGCUCAAGACACAAAUAAGAGGUUAUAAAAAUAACAAAAACUAAAGCAAGUGUUUCUAUAAAAUUAUUUUACUUAUUUAGACAGUUCCUAGUCUUUGGCUAUAUUUGAUUCAGUACAUAAGCUUUAUAGUUCAAUAUUCUAGAUAAGACUACCCUUGGAUUUUAUGGUACAUAAAUACAGAGCCUUGUAUUGGAAAUCACAUAACGGUUGUUUGUUCAGUUUGGUGUAUGACCACAAUUCCUAGUAUUAAUAAAGUAAAAUAUUUAUUAUAGAUGAGUUCCUGAGAGACCUGAGGCCUAAACUAUGGAGCCACAAAGUCUGAUUAAAUGCACGAAAGUACAUAGCAUUACAGUGGACUCUCAGAUAGCUACAAAUCCAGCUCAUCUUCCUUAACUGUUUAGCUCUUAACUCCUGUAAUAUGUCCCCUAUUUGGUCACAGCACUGAAACAGAGAAGCAUAUCUGAAAUCUCAACUACAAUUCAAUUUACUGUAUUUUAGCUACAAGAUAAAGCUCCAGUGUAUAUAAAACACAUACACAUAUGUUAACAAUGUGCUUUUACAUUGCCUUCAAAUCAAAUUACAUGGAUAUUUAACAAAAUAAUAAUUCUAUUACAGUAAAUUUUAAAUGCAAGAUACUUUUUAUGAAAACAGAUUGCUCUUAUUGACAUUUAUUAUUGGCUAUUCUGAGUGACAUUAAUAUAAUAUACAACCUGAAGUUUCAAUCCUAUGCAGCUUUAGCAUACAUAAAACUAUUCAGGUGAAAAUAUGUAUUUCUAUAAAAAUAUAUAUUUCAUGCAUGCUUUUAAAGAAAUAAAAUCUUCUUACCUUUGAGUCUAUUGUGAUGACUUGGGAAGAAUAUAACGCUCAUUUAUUUAAGAUUAAUUCAUUAUUUAAUAUUCAAACAUAUUAUGAUAACAAUUAAUGCCCAGGAGAAAAUGCUCUGAAUGUGGGGCUACAAUAGUCAAAGCUGAGGAGCUUCAAGAGAGAAAGCAACCAGAAUUAAUACAGUUUAGGUAAGAUGGCUAAGUUAGGGAGUCAGAAAAGCCUGUUCAAGCCACUUUGCAACCCUUGGGAAAUGCUUGCACCAGAAUGCUUCUCAGAGUGCAUGGGAUUAUCUUUUUUAUUUGAAUGGACUAUGAGACAGAACCAGCAAUACCUUUUUUUGGGAUAUGAAAUGUAAGUUCUAAGAAGUGGGAACAAAUAUGUGAUGUGAAAGACUCGACUAGUAAAGAAAGAAAAUUUCAGGGAGGGCAAUAUCUUGCUCCCAUGCUGGACUGCAACCAGGAUAGAAUUACAUAGAAAAGUUAAUUAGUCCAAAAGUUGUGGCACUGAAAAUAUCUCAGGCUCCAAAUUACCUUACCCUUCAGUAAAUGUACGUGAUACAUUUCCUUCACCAUUUUGCGUUUUAAAUUAAAGAUAAAAUCACCAGAAAGCAUAAAUACUUAAAAUGUCCCAAUUCAGUCCAGUCAGUUUAGCUUUACAAGAAUUAUUUCCCUCAAGGUUAAAAUAUAAUCAAUACUUUACUUUGAAGAGCUAACACAAGAAUCAGUAACAAUGUAUAUAAAGUCUCCUGCAGUGUACUCAAUGGAGGUUCUCAAUAAAUUGUAAAAAGUUUGUUUCUAUAAAAAUCCCCACACAGCAAUUAAAAUGAGUAUGACCACCUUUAGCCUUGUUUAUUUAGUUUCACACACUAUUUAUUACAUGAUUUAUCUUCUAUGGUUUAUGAAAGCAGCAGUGUAGAAAUAUCAGUUCUGUCAUUAUCUCUCCAGUAUGAAUGCUAAAAUUCUUUACAUUCAUCCAUUAAAUGAAUGGAUGCCUACUAUGUGCCAGAUCUUACACUAAGCAUAACAGUUACAAAGGUAAAUAAUUAUGUUCUUAUCAUGGUAGUUUACUCUGUAACCAAUGGAGCCAGGAAUAUAAUUACAUAGCUAAAUGUCAUAAUACCUAUAAAAUAGUUUUGUAUCUAAUGCUAUGGUAAGGAGGGAGAGGACUACGCAUUUUUAAAGAAAGUGUUUAAUAGAUCAAUUUCAUAAAAUAUAAAAGCAGAUUAUGUUCAUUUAAAUGUGACUGAAAGAAGUUUGUAGAUUUAAUUAGAAAAAUAAAUCACAUUUCAGUUAGCUCCACAGAUAAAAUGGUGGGGUGAAUUUUUCUGCUGUAAUAAUUGGUAGUAGCUUAGAAACCUAGAAUUCCCAAUCUUAACAAUUUUGUCCUCUGCCAAACCAUUUUAGAAUUUCUGACUGGAGGACUCUACACAGAGUAAAGUAGCAAAGUGGGAAGCUGAAGUACAAUCUUAUUUUCUUAAUUUUUAUUUUCUAAAUGUUGAAAUACAAUCUUAUUAAUGGCACCCCAUAAUCAUCAGUGCAAAUUCUAGAGACCUGGCCACAGGGUGCAGACAAAGAAGUCUACACUGGAAUUUCCCAUUUCCUUCCUUAUGAUUGAAGAAGUACCUGGCUUAAUGUCCCUCCUUAUUUCAUCUGCAGCUAUGAUAAAACAGAGAAAUAUUUGGCCAGACUCAUGUCAAAGGGACAUGCCUUAUCAGAAUCCUUAGCAGGACUUAGAGAGAGGUGUGUUUAAGAGCUAUGUUUCAGCCUGACCCAGUGUUCUUAUCAUCUGCAAGCACAGGAUAAGUAGUUUUGCUGGGGCUUUGAUAUUUAAGGAUCAGUAGCCACACCUGGGAGUAAAAAGAACUACCAGGACGUCACGAAAUGUGACAAUUCAGAUUUAGAAACCUCUCUGCCUUUAUAUCGCUGUUUCUGUGUAUAUAGGAAGAGCUGGCCAGGAGGGGAGGGUGGAAACACUGAGAAUCAAACGCAUAGGAAAAGGAAACCAUGUAUCACCCCAUUAAACAAAUAAAUGCAAAUAAUUAAGAAGGGUAUCAUAAUCAUAAUUAACUCACUAAAUUGGAGGUUGAGUUUGCCACAUCUGACUCUUCAUGUCUAUAAUUAAUUUAUAAUAUUCUCACUCUGUAUUUACAUAUAAUUAAAAGCUUAAAAGCUUAUUUUGGGGUGUUAAUAUUUAUUAAAAUAUAACAUUUAAGUCCUACAUUCCCCUUUUUUGUUUAGUUUAGCUUCAGCAGAUCUAUUAUGGUAUAAUUGAAACCCAAUAAUCUAAUACUUUUUAAAUGUACAAAUUUACAUUUAGAUAUACAUACACAUCCUUGAAAUUGUUAUCACAACCAAGACAGUGCAGAUUUUAGAGACCUGGCCACAUGCUGUAGGCAAAGAGCUCUACAGUGGAAUCUCUCAUUCCCUUCCUUGUGAUUAAAAUAGUAGCCGGCUUAAUGACCCUCCUCAUUUCAUCUGCAGUUAUGAUGAAACAGAAUGAUAUUCAGCCAGAUCUAUAUCAAAGGGGCAUGCCCUAUCGGAAUCCCUAGCAGGACUUAAAGAGAAGUGUAUUUAAGCCUGCCUCUGUGUGCUUAUCACCUUUAAUGAACAUAUCCAUUACUCAUUGUGAAAGUUUCUUGUCUUGCCUUGGUAAUCUCUCUCUCAAGCCCCUCCUCCCAACCCCCAUGCCAUCGCUCAUUUGUUUUCUGUACUAUAGAUUAAUUUACAUUUUCUAUAACUUAAAUUAACAUAGUCAUAAAAAUUCUCAUUUUCCUCUCCUCUUUCAUUCAGUAUAAUUAUUUUAAGAUUUAUCAAUGCUAUUUUUUAAUAGUUCAUUACUUUUGUUGUGGGUAGUUGUGAAACUUAGUUUUCUGGGUCAACAUAACUUGGUCAUAGGAUGGUCAGAUAUCUGGUUAAAAAUUGUUUCUGAGGGUGGUCGUGAGAAUGUUUCCAAAAGAUAUUAGCAAUUAAAUGGGUGGGCUGAGUAAAGCAGAUGGUUCUCACUCAUUAGAGUGGGCUUCAUUCGAUUUGUUGAGAGCCGAACUAGAACCAAAAGGUGGAAGAAAGUUGAAUGAGCUGUGCCUGACCAUUGAGCUGGGGCAUUGAUCUUCCACUGUACUUGGUGCUUAUGGAUCUCAGACCUGCAAAUUGAGACUAGAAUUUACACCAUCAGGUUUCUAAUUGUCAGGCCUUUGAACUGUAUUACCAGUUUUCCUCAAUCUCCAGCAUGAGAAAGACAAAUCAUGGGACUUCUCAGUCUCUUUAAUCUCAUAGCCAAUACCUAAUAGAUCUCUUUAUAUGUAUGUCUUCUUGGUUCCAUUACACUAGACAACCCUGUGUAAUGUAGUAGUAUUCGAUUAUAUGGAUAUACAAAAUUUGUUUCUCCAUUCAGCUGUUGAUGGACAUAUGGAUUGUUAUGAGUUUUUAGCUACUUCGAUAGGCUGUGGAAACUCAUGCCUAAGUCUCAGUAUGAACAUAUGCAUUUAUUACUUUUGGGUAUAUAGCUAGAAGUAAAAAAAAAAAACCUGCAUCAUUUGGAAAUUUUAUGAUUAACUCUUUAAAAACCUGCCAAAGUAAGUUCCAAAAUAAUUGCAGCAUUUACAUUCCCACUAACUGUGUAUGAAAGCUACAGUUGCUUCACAUGCUUGCCAAAACUUCAGUCUUUUUAACUCUAUCCAUUAUAAUGAGUGUGUUACAGCAUCUCAUUAUGUUUUAUUUUGCAUUUCCCAAAGACUAAUUAUAUUGAGAAUCUCUUCAUGUGGUUGUCUUCUCUGUAUCUUCUUAGUGAAAUGUCUAUGCAACUCUUCUGACAAUCUUUUUUAUUGUGUUGUUUUAUAUUCUCAAGAGUUCUUUAUAUAUUCUAGAUAUGGGUCCCUUAUCAGAUAUUUGAUUUAAAAUUAUUUUCUUCCCACACGUGGCUUGUCUUUUCAUUCUUUUAACAAAAUGUUUUGAAAGCCAGAAGUCCAUAAAUUUGAAGUAUAAUUUAGCUUUUUUUUUUCUUUUAUGGAUCCUCAUUUUGUUGUUAUAUCAAAUAAAUCUUGAUCUAACCUGAGGUCACCAAUAUUUCCAUCUAUGUUUCUAACUAAAGAUUUAUAAAACAUUUGGAGCAAUUUAUUUUUACCUAUGGUGCAAGAAAUAGAUUGAUUUUUAUUUCUGUUGGUUUUGGCAUAUGGAUAUUCAAUUGCUUUAGCACCAUUUAUUGAAAAGGCUAUCUUUCUCAACUGAAUUGGUUUUGCAUCUUUGUCAAAAAUCUAUUGAUCUAAUAUGUGUGUGCCUAUUUUUGGAUUCUGUAUUAUGUUUCAUGGAUCUAUGUGUCCAUUUUUAAACAAAUACUAAAAUACUAUAUUGCCUCGAUGAUGCCUAUUGAAAUUAGUCCUCACGUUGUUCUUUUUCAAAGUUGCUUUGGGUAUUCUAGCUUUUUAAAGCUUCUAUAAAAGUUUUAGAAUCAGUGUCAUUUUUUGAAAAAAGACUAAUGUGAUUUUAGUUUUAAUUGCACUCAAUCUAUAGAUCAACUUUGAAAUAAUCAGAAUUUUAAGAUAUUGAGACUUUUAAUUCAUGGACUGUAUAUUUCCCCACUUACUUAAAUCUUUACUUUUGCUCAGAAGGGUUUUACUAUUUUGGGAUACAGGUUCUGCUUGCCUUAGAUCUGUUUUUAAAUAUUUCAUAGUAUUGUGUUAUUGUGAUAUUUUAAAUUUUUAAUUAAAUUGAUCAUUGCUAAAAUAAAGAAGUACAGUUGAUUUUUAUUUACUGAUUGUGUAUCUUGCUGUCUAACUCACUUAUAAGUUCAAUGAAUGUUUUUGUAGAUUCCAAAAGAUUUUGUAUAUAAAUGAUCAUGCUGUCUCUAAAAAAAGAACAGUUUAACUUGUUUUGUUUUUGUUAAAUCUGUAUCUAUAAAUAAAAUGUAUGUGAACUUAAAUAGCCUUAAAGUUAAGAGAGGAGAAAUGGAAUUAUACUAUAAUAAAUUUUUAUACUAUUGUCAAAACAGUAUAAUAACUUAAAGGUAAAAUGUGGGAAUUUAAAGAUAUACACUAUCUUUG
This 11270-nucleotide long non-coding RNA is filed under the name Homo sapiens (human). RNAcentral describes it as "non-protein coding lnc-PRMT6-18:1". Lineage: Eukaryota; Metazoa; Chordata; Mammalia; Primates; Hominidae. The record is from RNAcentral.